GUUGAAACAUCGGUUCGCGUACGAUCAGAGAAGUUAAGCAACGUCAAGCCUGGUCAGUACCUAGAUAGGCGAGAGCUUGGGAAUACCGGAUGUUGUAAG
Non-coding RNA from Acanthosepion pharaonis, 99 nucleotides. NCBI's taxonomy places the organism in Eukaryota, Metazoa, Mollusca, Cephalopoda, Sepiida, Sepiidae. The record is from the annotation of a GenBank genome assembly.